This 301-nucleotide ribosomal RNA is filed under the name uncultured bacterium. RNAcentral's name for it is "partial 16S ribosomal RNA". It matches the Rfam family "Bacterial small subunit ribosomal RNA", at positions 509 to 807 of the family's 1533-position model. The record is from RNAcentral.
CAGCAGCCGCGGGAAUACAGAGGGUGCGAGCGUUAAUCGGAUUUACUGGGCGUAAAGCGUGCGUAGGCGGCUUCUUAAGUCGGAUGUGAAAUCCCUGAGCUUAACUUAGGAAUUGCAUUCGAUACUGGGAAGCUAGAGUAUGGGAGAGGAUGGUAGAAUUCCAGGUGUAGAGGUGAAAUGCGUAGAGAUCUGGAGGAAUACCGAUGGCGAAGGCAGCCAUCUGGACUAAUACUGACGCUGAGGUACGAAAGCAUGGGGAGCAAACAGGAUUAGAUACCCCGGUAGUCCCUGUCUCUUAUAC